This 253-nucleotide ribosomal RNA is filed under the name uncultured bacterium. Its description in RNAcentral is "partial 16S ribosomal RNA". It matches the Rfam family "Bacterial small subunit ribosomal RNA", at positions 524 to 776 of the family's 1533-position model. The record is from RNAcentral.
UACAGAGGGUGCAAGCGUUAAUCGGAAUUACUGGGCGUAAAGCGUGCGUAGACGGUUGCGUAAGUCAGAUGUGAAAGCCCCGGGCUCAACCUGGGAAUUGCAUUUGAGACUGCGUAGCUAGGGUGCGGAAGAGGGAAGCGGAAUUUCCGGUGUAGCGGUGAAAUGCGUAGAUAUCGGCAGGAACACCCAGGGGGAAACCAGUCGACUGGGCAUCUACUGACGCUGAGGUGCGAGAGCGUGGGGAGCGAACCGG